UACAGAGGUGGCAAGCGUUGUUCGGAAUUACUGGGCGUAAAGGGCGCGUAGGCGGCCAUCUAAGUCAGACGUGAAAUCCCCCGGCUUAACCUGGGAACUGCGUCUGAUACUGGACGGCUAGAGUUUGGGAGAGGGAUGUGGAAUUCCAGGUGUAGCGGUGAAAUGCGUAGAUAUCUGGAGGAACACCGGUGGCGAAGGCGGCAUCCUGGACCAACACUGACGCUGAGGCGCGAAAGCUAGGGGAGCAAACAGG
This 253-nucleotide ribosomal RNA is filed under the name uncultured bacterium. RNAcentral's name for it is "partial 16S ribosomal RNA". It matches the Rfam family "Bacterial small subunit ribosomal RNA", at positions 524 to 776 of the family's 1533-position model. The record is from RNAcentral.